RNAcentral lists this ribosomal RNA (440 nucleotides) under uncultured bacterium. RNAcentral's name for it is "partial 16S ribosomal RNA". It matches the Rfam family "Bacterial small subunit ribosomal RNA", at positions 338 to 795 of the family's 1533-position model. The record is from RNAcentral.
CCUACGGGGGGCUGCAGUGAGGAAUAUUGCACAAUGGGGGGAACCCUGAUGCAGCGACGCCGCGUGGGUGAAGAAGCGCCUCGGCGCGUAAAGCCCUGUCAGCAGGGAAGAAAAUGACGGUACCUGAAGAAGAAGCCCCGGCUAACUACGUGCCAGCAGCCGCGGUAAUACGUAGGGGGCAAGCGUUAUCCGGAUUUACUGGGUGUAAAGGGGGCGCAGACGGCGGUGCAAGCCAGGAGUGAAAGCCCGGGGCCCAACCCCGGGACUGCUCGUGGAACUGCGUGGCGGGAGUGCAGGAGGGGCAGGCGGAAUUCCUGGUGUAGCGGUGAAAUGCGUAGAUAUCAGGAGGAACACCGGUGGCGAAGGCAGCUUACUAAACUGCCACUGACAUUGAUGCUCGAAAGUGUGGGUAUCAAACAGGAUUAGAUACCCGGGUAGUC